Long non-coding RNA from Antechinus flavipes (yellow-footed antechinus), 1333 nucleotides. RefSeq lists it as uncharacterized. The record is from RefSeq and is a predicted model, not a curated record. Lineage: Eukaryota; Metazoa; Chordata; Mammalia; Dasyuromorphia; Dasyuridae. The transcript has 2 exons.
UUUACAGAUGGGGAAAUUGAAGCAAACAGAAUUAAGUGAUCUGCUCAGGAUCACACAGCUAGGAAGUGUCUGAAGAUUUGAACUCGGGUAGCGGAGUCUCCAGGCUUGGUACUCUGUGCACUAUGGCGCCAUCUAGCUGCCCUCUCUUGCUGGCUCCCUUCAUACCUCUACCUUUCAUUACACAAUUAAGCUAUUUCUCUCAGUCCUUCCAGCUUUAGAAAGAUCCUCUUUUUUUCAAUCCCAGUUGCCCCUCCCCACCUUGAUUUAAAUGUAAACUUCCAUCCUCAAAGUGAUCCGGACCUUGGCUUGGACAUACCCUGGGUCCUGCUGUGGGGUUUCUCUGCUCCGUCCUGCCUAUUCCGGGCACAGCCCACUGCAUGGUAGAGAAAGGAUUCUGGAUUUCUGUGCCUCUGGAUGGAGACAAAGACUUAAGGAGAAGGUGAUGGACCAGAAAUGUGGAUCAGCUCCUGAAAGUCAACUGCUAAAUUUUCAGUGUGAGCGCUUACUCACAUUGGGCAUUGGAGAAUAUGACAGAUCGGGGCUCUGUUUGUUGUUUUGUUGAUUGUCUAGACUUGAGAAAGUGACAGAGGAAAAUGCUGAAUGUGGGUUAAAUCAAAAGUGCCAGGUGCAUUUGCAGAGGGGAUUGGUGACAAUUUACCAGCACUCUGUGGGUAGUGCAGGGCCUUCUCCUCCAACCAGACAGCCCUCCUCUGGUAUUGUGGUGGGCUCUUGGCAUCGGCUGCUGUUGGAAGGGAUACUGAAAUAUUGCAGUAUUGGAUUAAAGAGGUCUGGAUACCAUGUGUAAGGAAUUGAGGGUGUUACUCAGAAGAGAAUGAGGAGGGAAGGCUGGCCUUCUGGUGCAUCUGAAGGCCUACCAUAUGGAAGAAGAAUUUCACUUUUAGGCUUGGUCCCAGAGAGGGAUGUCUAGGGUUAAUUUCAGUAUAAAGAAAAGAAAAAAAACAAUUUCCUAACAAUUCGAGUCUGAUUAUAGAAUGGGCUUUUUGACUGUAAGCUCCAUGAGGACAGUUUUUAUCUUAUCUAAUACUCUCCUAAUAUUUACCUUAGACCCAAUUGUGGAGUAAGUUCUAAUGCCGCUCAUUCCUGCAGCUGACACUCAAAUUUUCUCAAAGCUUCUUAAGCACUUUCAUUAGUCCUUUCUUUGUCCCUAUUCCCAUUGAUCAUCUGGAGCUCCCUUCCUUCUGUCCUUGAUUCAUUUUUAAAAUCAUUUUAAAAAUCAAUGUUUUAAAGUAUAUGUUGGUGUGUAUGUUUUGUGUCUGUUUUUAUAUGUAUGAAAAAAUGUUUUGUUUUUAUACAAUAAACCUCUUUAACAUGU